RNAcentral lists this long non-coding RNA (2715 nucleotides) under Cinara cedri. The record is from RNAcentral. Lineage: Eukaryota; Metazoa; Arthropoda; Insecta; Hemiptera; Aphididae.
UCUGUGAUGCCCAAUGCGCUUCCAUCCACAGGCCUUGGUUCCAGUUUGGUAUUUGCAUAGCUGACUUAAAAAUAUUGAGGUGAUAUUAUAAAUUAUUCGUGGUAUUUCAUAUAGUAAAGUUAAGUCGUCUCUUCAUAGGACAUUAUAUUGUUUGCAACUUGUCUGAUAGGACUCUUUAUUUAUUUUGGAUAUUUACAUUUUAAGAAAUAAUUUUAGCUAUAGGGUAUUUUGUUAUAUUUAUAAACUUUUUCAAGUAGAUAAUUUGAUGUUCACUUUAUCACAAGUUGUCGUACCUAAUUUAAUCAUGUAUUCGUGAUCAUGACACGAAAAAAUUACUAAUUAUUAUGUUAGUAGUUAAUUAAAUUGUUUAUUUUAGUUUGUCUAGUAAGGAGAAAAGGAAAGUUUUUUGUUUUCUCAGACAUGGAUACUGUACAUAAAGAAUUUGGAUUAUCAAAAUAAGAAUAAUAUGUAUAAAAAUUAAUUUGAUAGUUCAAGAGAGUAUACAUACCAAUACCAUAGCCGGACAAAAUUCGGGAAGGAGGCACCAAUAAUUUGUAUUAUAAUCUACUUAUGUAUUUUAGAUUGAUAAAAUAUUAAAAUUUAAAUAAAGAAUAAAAAAAAGAUAUAGGGAGGGGGGGGGAAUAUGCUCCCCUAAAAAUUGAAUUUCCCGAUUUUUAGUCUCAAAUAAUUGGCAGCUCUAUAUUGGAAAUAGUCAUAACUUUAUACUAUACAUUUUAUUUUUAUUCAUUAUGUUUGCUUAAAAAUCAUAAUUAAAAGUACCUACUAUUAUUUAAUUAUAAUAAAAACUUGUUGAAAAAUUAUAUCUACUUAACACAUUAAAGACAAAUAUAAAAACCUAUUAUUACAAGUAUGUCAUUUGUCAUACAUUUUUUCAUCUGUGUUACCAUAGAUACCCACACGGUACAGGGAUUAAACUAUAUAUCCAUUUUAAUUACACUAGAACUAAAAGAUUCUUAAUAGCCAAGACUAUAUUCAUAUUAGUUCUGUAUUAAAAAAAUCAAUAUUCUAUUUAUACUAUUAAUGUAAAAAAUGAUUAUAUUUUCGAUUUUUUUUUUUUCACUAUUGUUUAUUUUGUGAUUUUUGAAAUUAAAAUUAAUCAUAAAUACAUAUGUAUAUAAUAAUAUAACACAUAUAAAAUUUCAGGUUUUAUAUUUUAGUUUAUAUAUAUAUAUAACUUUGUACAUGGAGAGCCACUGUCAUUAAAAAAACCUUAGCCUUAAUGAUUUAAUCAUAUUAGUUCUAUACAUUUUAAGUACCAAUAUUAGUAUUCACAUUGUUUUUGGGGGUUAAUAAUAAUACUAAUCAUUGUUUGUGAUUACAUCACUGAGAAUCAUUAUUAAUGCUAAAUGUAUUUAUUGGAAUGGAUAGGGAGAAAAAAUCAAACUAUUUUGUAUAAACAGUGGUCAAAUUAAAUAUUUAUUAAAAUAAAUAUGUAAUAAUCAAAAAAAUAAAAAGUUAUAAGACUUGUUUAAAUAAACAUUAUAGAAAAAAAAAAACAAUUUUUAAAUUUAAUUUAUUGUAAUGAAAUUGUUUCAGGCAAUAAUAAGAAAUUCAGGAUUAACACAAGAUUGAAACAGGGAGAUGCUUUCUCUCCAACACAAUCUUUUCCACAUUGUGUUGGAGGAAGUGGUUUGAAAGACAUUAAAUAUUAGCAUAGGAUUCAAACUAUAAGAAUCUAAAACUAUCAAACUAAUAGCAUAUGCUGAUAACAUAGUAUUACUGUCCAAAUCUGAGAAUAACCUUCAGUGUACGGUAAAAGCCUUUAUGAAUGAAAGUAAACAAAUAGACGUAACUAUAAAUGAAGAAAAAACAAAAUAAAUAAUACUGUCACAAAAAAAUAAUUGAUAUAGUAGUUUGGUAGUCAGGGAUAUGGAUUUCGAAUGGGUCGAAAACUUCAAAUAUUUAGGAGUGGAAUUGAACAUGUUGAGCAAUAACUACAAGGAAAUAUAUAAAAUAUAUUAAACUCAGCUAAAAAGUGCUUCUUCAGAUUAAAGACAAUAUUAAAAUCUAUACCGGUAUCAAUUUGAUUUAAACUAACUUUAUACAAAGUAAUGAUAUGUUGAUAUGUCUAAUAGCGCUAUAUGCCUGUGAAACCUGGAUUACAACAAGAACAGACGAGUAGAACCUAGCAAGAUUCAAGAGGAAGGUAUUACGACAAAUAUUUGGGCCCAGAAGAAACCAAAACACGGAAAAAUAUGAGUGAAGAAAAAACGAAGAGGUAAGAAAUAUGUAAGAGGAUUCAGAUAUAAUAGCUACAAUGAAAAGUAAAAGGAUAAGCUGAGCAGGGCAUGGCAUGUAUAAUGAGGUUGAAAACAGACAAUUGGUUAAGUAGCCAGUUAAAAGACAAUGAGCAAAAGACCGCUCUGCCGUCCAAGACAAAGAUAGAUAAAUAGAGUCCAUAAUGACCUGACAAUGCUGGGAAUGCUAAAUGGUGAAGAAGCUUAGGACUUAAUUAGUCUAUACUAAGCUAAAUAUAAAAAAAAUAUUUUAAUUUAUUACAGAAAUAUUAAAAUCAUAUAAACCAUUUUUAAAUAGUAUUAAUACAUUAAAUGUAAAAAUAUUCUACAAAUUUACUAAAGAAUAAUGAAAUAACAACAUUUUUAAAUUUUUUUUUUUUUUUCAGAAUGUAUUUUGAAAAAACAAUCAUUUAAACAAAAAUUUACAGAACAACCUGGACAUAAUAUUUGUAAUUUG